Long non-coding RNA from Chiroxiphia lanceolata (lance-tailed manakin), 259 nucleotides. RefSeq lists it as uncharacterized. NCBI's taxonomy places the organism in Eukaryota, Metazoa, Chordata, Aves, Passeriformes, Pipridae. The record is from RefSeq and is a predicted model, not a curated record. The transcript is spliced from 3 exons.
CUCAAGGAUGAGUGGAAGAGAUUUACCCAUGGUCAUUGGUCUUGGAUGGUGACAUGCAACCAUACAGCCAGGGAAGGAAUAGCCUAAGUGAGACUGACUGAGUGGAACUGCUGUGGAGAGUGUCAGUGCUAAUCCAAGCAGAGGGAUACCUGGCACACAUCACUGCCCAUCAGGGCUUUGCUGCUCCCAGGGAAAGCAAUCACAGUAUUGAUUAGCUGAAGAGGCUUCCUAUUGGUAUUUAAACUAGGUGGAAGAAGUG